This 484-nucleotide ribosomal RNA is filed under the name uncultured bacterium. RNAcentral describes it as "partial 16S ribosomal RNA". It matches the Rfam family "Bacterial small subunit ribosomal RNA", at positions 39 to 507 of the family's 1533-position model. The record is from RNAcentral.
GGGGGGGGGGGGGGGGGGGGGGGGGGGGGGGGGGGGGGGGGGGUGAGGGGGGCUUGGGGCGGGGGUCGGCGGCGGACGGGUGGGUGAUGCCUAGGAAUCUGCCUGGGAGUGGGGGAUAAGGUCCGGAAACGGGCGCUCAUACCGCAUCCGUCCUGAGGGAGAAAGUGGGGGAUCUUCGGACCUCACGCUAUCAGAUGAGCCUAGGUCGGAUUAGCUAGUUGGUGGGGUAACGGCCUACCAAGGCGACGAUCCGUAACUGGUCUGAGAGGAUGAUCAGUCACACUGGAACUGAGACACGGUCCAGACUCCUACGGGAGGCAGCAGUGGGGAAUAUUGGACAAUGGGCGAAAGCCUGAUCCAGCCAUGCCGCGUGUGUGAAGAAGGUCUUCGGAUUGUAAAGCACUUUAAGUUGGGAGGAAGGGCAGUAAGUUAAUACCUUGCUGUUUUGACGUUACCAACAGAAUAAGCACCGGCUAACUUCGUG